Molecule: ribosomal RNA, 497 nt
Filed under: uncultured bacterium
Lineage: Bacteria
Description: partial 16S ribosomal RNA
Rfam family: Bacterial small subunit ribosomal RNA
Source: RNAcentral
GAUGAACGCUGGCGGCGUGCCUAAUACAUGCAAGUCGAGCGAACGGACGAGAAGCUUGCUUCUCUGGUGUUAGCGGCGGACGGGUGAGUAACACGUGGAUAACCUACCUAUAAGACUGGGAUAACUUCGGGAAACCGGAGCUAAUACCGGAUAAUAUUUUGAACCGCAUGGUUCAAAAGUGAAAGACGGUCUUGCUGUCACUUAUAGAUGGAUCCGCGCUGCAUUAGCUAGUUGGUAAGGUAACGGCUUACCAAGGCAACGAUGCAUAGCCGACCUGAGAGGGUGAUCGGCCACACUGGAACUGAGACACGGUCCAGACUCCUACGGGAGGCAGCAGUAGGGAAUCUUCCGCAAUGGGCGAAAGCCUGACGGAGCAACGCCGCGUGAGUGAUGAAGGUCUUCGGAUCGUAAAACUCUGUUAUUAGGGAAGAACAUAUGUGUGAGUAACUGUGCACAUCUUGACGGUACCUAAUCAGAAAGCCACGGCUAACUACGUG